GAGGCGUUAGCUCAGCGGGAGAGCACUUGCUUGACAGGCAAGGGGUCGGGGGUUCAAUUCCCUUACGCCUCA
Molecule: transfer RNA, 72 nt
Filed under: Aureibacillus halotolerans
Lineage: Bacteria; Bacillati; Bacillota; Bacilli; Caryophanales; Bacillaceae
Rfam family: tRNA
About the family: Transfer RNA (tRNA) molecules are approximately 80 nucleotides in length. Their secondary structure includes four short double-helical elements and three loops (D, anti-codon, and T loops).
Source: Rfam by way of RNAcentral